GCGGGGACCACCUACGUGUCACUUGGGCGGGUCCCGAUCGCAGGCACAGAGCACAGCGUGGGCCCCGGAGCGCGCUGGGGACCGGAGGGCGGGGGCCCCGGGCGGCUGCCGCAACUGCUCUCCCGGGGCUCGGUCAAUUGGUUGGGGAGGCCGUCAGCGCCUCGCUCCUACAGGCUGGCCCGCGGGCAUAGACAACCACCCACACCCGGCACAGGCGCGCGCGUAUACACACACACACACACACGCACGCACGCACCCACAGCCACAAAGCGCGUCUGCCGCCGGGAAGCGCGAUCCCGGGGCGCCCUUUGGCCGCAGAAGGGACCCGGGGCCGCAGGCUCGGCGCUCAGAGGGUACCGUCUUCCCGCGCCGCGCCCGCGCCUUUACCUGCGCCCGCCGCCGCCUCGCGUCCGGCUCCCGCCGCCCCCAGGCUGGCCUCAGGCUGCGCGGUCAAUCCCCGCAGCCCCCGCCCCGCGGCCCGCCGAGCCCGGCCCUCCGCCCGCCCCUCGGCCGUCGCCCGGAGCGGGGCCGCCCCCUGCGCCCACCCCGCCGGGGUCCCGAGCGCGGCCGGGAGGCCGGGAAGGGCUCAGCAGCGCGGGGACCCUGGCCGCCCGACAGCGGGCGGGCUCCGCUGGGGGACAGGGGCGUCGCGGCUCGGGGAGCGUCUGCCGCCGCUCCGCCUGGAGUGCUCCGGCUUUGGCGCGCUGGCAGGGGCGGCGGGGGAGGGGGCGCCGAGGGAGGGCCACGGGAGCCGCGCAGACGCCGGCCUCCUUCUUCCUCCGCCUCCUUCUUUUCUGCUGGCUCCACGUAGCACAAGUCAGCAAGUCCUGCACCUCCCGACUCCCUCCCCCUGGCUCAUUCCCUUACCUGGCGCGACGCCCCCCGAGCCCCGACCCUCGGCGCUCCUCCUCCCCCAUUCAGUUGCUGGACUUCCAGCCUCGUCUGCAGAGCGGGGGCGGAGGGUACCUCAAGCCUCCCAUUCAUGAUCUUCCCAGCGCCCCCCCACCCGGAGAGAACCCACCCGGGGCCCGAGACCCUAGGGCCUCCAACUCCAUCUCCCCACCCCGCACCCGCUCCCGCGCUCACCUCUGCGACCGGCAGCUUGCGGGACUCGGGUGGCCACCCCCACACGUUGCAUUUUCAUUUUGUCGCUCUUUUCUUCCCACUUGA
RNAcentral lists this long non-coding RNA (1170 nucleotides) under Bos indicus x Bos taurus (hybrid cattle). Its description in RNAcentral is "lncRNA (ENSBIXG00005012062.1)". Lineage: Eukaryota; Metazoa; Chordata; Mammalia; Artiodactyla; Bovidae. The record is from RNAcentral.